UCUUUUCCUUUUUUUCCCUCCCUCCUCUUUCCUACUUAUUAUUCUAUCUUUAUCCUUAUUUAUUGGGUUUAAAGGGAGCGCAGACGGGUCGUUAAGUCAGCUGUGAAAGUUUGGGGCUCAACCUUAAAAUUGCAGUUGAUACUGGCGUCCUUGAGUGCGGUUGAGGUGUGCGGAAUUCGUGGUGUAGCGGUGAAAUGCUUAGAUAUCACGAAGAACUCCGAUUGCGAAGGAAGAAAAAUAAGAAGUAAAUGAAGGGAAGGAGAGAAAGGGGGGGGAGAAAAAAGG
Molecule: ribosomal RNA, 285 nt
Filed under: Phocaeicola plebeius DSM 17135
Lineage: Bacteria; Pseudomonadati; Bacteroidota; Bacteroidia; Bacteroidales; Bacteroidaceae
Description: partial 16S ribosomal RNA
Rfam family: Bacterial small subunit ribosomal RNA (bases 58-285)
Source: RNAcentral